This 440-nucleotide ribosomal RNA is filed under the name uncultured bacterium. RNAcentral's name for it is "partial 16S ribosomal RNA". It matches the Rfam family "Bacterial small subunit ribosomal RNA", at positions 338 to 795 of the family's 1533-position model. The record is from RNAcentral.
CCUACGGGAGGCAGCAGUAGGGAAUAUUGCUCAAUGGGCGAAAGCCUGAAGCAGCGACGCCGCGUGAAGGAUGAAGGUUUUCGGAUUGUAAACCUCUUUUGGUAGAGAAGAUAAUUCAGUGUUCUAACCAAUAAGGACUGGCCAACACCGGCACAGCAAGCACCGUAAUACGGAGGGUGCAAGCGUUAAGCGGAAUCACUGGGCGUAAAGAGAGUGUAGGCGGGAUGGCAAGUCAGGCGUGAAAUCCUAGGGCUUAACCAUAGAACUGCCUUUGAAACUGGCAUUCUAGAGUGUGGGAGAGGUAGGUGGAAUUCUUGGUGUAGGGGUGAAAUCCGUAGAGAUCGAGAGGAAUACUGAUGGCGAAGGCGACCUGCUGGCACAUAACUGACGCUGAGGCGCGAAAGCGUGGGUAGCAAACAGGAUUAGAUACCCGAGUAGUC